AGUGAACGCUGGCGGUAUGCUUAACACAUGCAAGUCGAACGGCAGCACAGUACUAGCUUGCUCUUACGGGUGGCGAGUGGCGGACGGGUGAGGAAUACAUCGGAAUCUACUUUUUCGUGGGGGAUAACGUAGGUAAAGUUACUCCAAUACCGCAUACGCCCCACGAGUGUAAGCAGGGGAUAUUCGGACCUUGUGCGAUUGGAUGCGCCGAUGUCGGGUUAGCUAGUUGGCGGGGUAAAGGCCCACCAAGGCGACGAUCCGCAGCUGGUGGGAGUGGAUGGUAGGCCACACUGGAGCUGGAACACGGUCCAGACUCCUGCGGGAGGCAGCAGAGGGGAAUAUUAGACAGUGGGCGCAAACCUGAUCCAGCCAUACCGCGUGGGUGAAAAAGACCUUCGGGUUGUAAAGCCCUUUUGUUGGGAAAAAAAAGCAUCAGGUUAAUACCCCGCUGUUCUGACGGUAACCAAAGAAUAAGCACCGGCUAACUUCGUG
RNAcentral lists this ribosomal RNA (492 nucleotides) under uncultured bacterium. Its description in RNAcentral is "partial 16S ribosomal RNA". It matches the Rfam family "Bacterial small subunit ribosomal RNA", at positions 29 to 507 of the family's 1533-position model. The record is from RNAcentral.